Phycodurus eques (leafy seadragon) is the source of this 359-nucleotide long non-coding RNA. RefSeq lists it as uncharacterized. The record is from RefSeq and is a predicted model, not a curated record. NCBI's taxonomy places the organism in Eukaryota, Metazoa, Chordata, Actinopteri, Syngnathiformes, Syngnathidae. The transcript has 3 exons.
CCGGAAUCGUCAGAUGAGCGAACUCCCUCUGGAUCGCCUUGAAGCAGCAGAGCUUCAUCCCGAGCUUCCUCCGACGAAGACGAAGCUUGCAGGAUUUGAACACCCGUGACUCGAACGUCUUUUAGGAUUGCGAUGGAAAAAAACUUAUGCAUCCAGCCGACGUUCGACCCCCAUUCCAGUAUGCAGUGCAGACAAAAAAAGGUAAUUAGUGUUCAGUGCCUUGCCCAAGGUCACUUUGACAUGCAGACAGUCGCAGCAGUGAAUCGAACCAGCGGGUCACUGGAAGUCGUGAGCCAAAGCCCCCCACGCCUACAACAUUAAGGAAAUCCCACAUCUGUACCAAUGGGUACAAACCUGCA